AACGAACGCUGGCGGCAGGCUUAACACAUGCAAGUCGAGCGCCCUGCAAGGGGAGCGGCAGACGGGUGAGUAACGCGUGGGAAUCUACCGAGCCCUGCGGAAUAGCUCCGGGAAACUGGAAUUAAUACCGCAUACGCCCUACGGGGGAAAGAUUUAUCGGGGUUUGAUGAGCCCGCGUUGGAUUAGCUAGUUGGUGGGGUAAAGGCCUACCAAGGCGACGAUCCAUAGCUGGUCUGAGAGGAUGAUCAGCCACAUUGGGACUGAGACACGGCCCAAACUCCUACGGGGGGCAGGGGUGGGGAAUAUUGGACAAUGGGCGCAAGCCUGAUCCAGCCAUGCCGCGUGAGUGGUGAAGGCACUAGGGUUGUAAAGCUCUUUCAACGGUGAAGAUAAUGACGGUAACCGUAGAAGAAGCCCCGGCUAACUUCGUGCCAGCCGCCGCCGUAA
This 447-nucleotide ribosomal RNA is filed under the name uncultured bacterium. Its description in RNAcentral is "partial 16S ribosomal RNA". It matches the Rfam family "Bacterial small subunit ribosomal RNA", at positions 29 to 523 of the family's 1533-position model. The record is from RNAcentral.